Molecule: long non-coding RNA, 372 nt
Filed under: Homo sapiens (human)
Lineage: Eukaryota; Metazoa; Chordata; Mammalia; Primates; Hominidae
Description: non-protein coding lnc-MORF4L2-2:1
Source: RNAcentral
AUGAAUUUGCUGGAGCAGGCAGAAGAGCUCAAGGCUUUUGAGAGGAGACUUACUGAAUAUAUUCAUUGUUUGCAACCUGCUACUGGAUGUUGGAGAAUGCUUCUUCUAGUGGUAUCUGUCUGUACGCUACUGGUGCCUGGAACUGGUUGAUAGAUCCAGAGACACAAAAGGUGUCCUUCUUCACAUCAUUAUGGAAUCAUCCAUUUUUUACCAUUAGCUAUAUCACUCUAAUAGGCUUGUUCUUUGCUGGAAUACACAAGAGAGUAGUUGCACCAUCAAUUAUAGCUGCUCAACGUCAAACGAUAUUAGCAGAAUACAAUAUGUCUUGUGAUGAUACAGGAAAACUAAUUUUGAAACCUAGGCCUCAUGUUC